UAUAUAUAUAUACUAGAACACACCCGCGAAAUCGCGGGCAUUCAAAGCGUAGUUUAAAGUAUGUAAAGUGUUGUUGGAAGAAUUUUGUAAAAUAUUUAAUGACUGGAGAAUUUCAGCAAAAGUAUCAUAAGUCAUAGGUUAUUGGGGACAGGAAAAUGCUUUUUUUAUUAUCCCUCCUCCUUUAUUUCCAAUAUUCCCAUUUUUUGGUUUUCUAUCAAUUUCAAUAUGAACAUACAUUUAGUAUGUUAUGAACAACACAAGUAAGGAGCCUGUAAUUCAGUGGUUGUUGUUUGUUUAUGUGUUACAUAUUUGUUUUUCGUUCAUUUUUUUGUACAUAAAUAAGGCCGCUAGUUUUCUGGUUUGAAUUGUUUUACAUUGUCAGUUCGGGGCCUUUUAACGCUGAGUAUGGGCUUUGCUCGUUGUUGAAGGUCGUACGGUAACCUAUAAUUGUUAAUAUCUGUGUCAUAUUGGUCUCUUGUGGAGAGUUGUCUCAACAUGGCAAUCAUACCACAUCUUCUUUUUUUGUAAUCAAUGAUUUUUGUAAAAGAUUUAAUGACUUGAGAAUUUCAGAAAAGGUAUCAAAAGUUCACAUGAAUAUUUUUAGCGCUUAUCUGUAUAUUAUGAGCAUUCAUUACUAUAUGAUAAAUAUAGUGUACAUGUAUUUACUUUACUAAUCGAUCCAUAGUGGUCAUUGAUAUAGUAUACAGACCCUCUCUAUUUAAUAAACUCUGUGACUGCCGUGGAUAGUAAACUUGAAAAUGAUAGCAGAUAGAAUUCUGAAAAUACACUUUAUUCUUUGUAUAUGUACGUUCAAAGUAUACAGAAAAACGCAAACCGGAAGUCUAAUCUUACUUAAAAUUUCGUCCAAUGACGGGACAAUAUCCGGAUGCCUUUUUUCUCGUUUUUCUCCAAAAUUAAGUCAAUCUGAAUAAUCAUAUGAAUGGAUGACAAAUGGCACUAUGCACUGUACCUAUAGGACACAGAGGCGUGUUGAUCAAUUAAUUGUGGAAAGAAGAGAAGCGACACCCA
RNAcentral lists this long non-coding RNA (1029 nucleotides) under Mytilus galloprovincialis (Mediterranean mussel). Lineage: Eukaryota; Metazoa; Mollusca; Bivalvia; Mytilida; Mytilidae. The record is from RNAcentral.